GAUGAAGAACGCAGCGAAAUGCGAUAAGUAAUGUGAAUUGCAGAGUUCAGUGAAUCAUCGAAUCUUUGAACGCACAUUGCGCCCGUCAGUAUUCUGACGGGCAUGCCUGUCCGAGCGUCAUUUCAACCCUCAAGCACUGCUUGGCGUUGGCGGAUUGCGUGCCCUCGCGGCGCUGCAACCGCCCAAAUACAGUGGCGGUCCCGCUGCGGCUCCCUUUGCGUAGUAACUCACCUCGCAGGACCGGGCGGCGGCCUGCCGUAAAACCCCAACUCACGAAAUGUUGACCUCGGAUCAGGUAGGAAUACCCGCUGAACUUAAGCAUAUCAAUAAGCGGAGGA
This 338-nucleotide unclassified non-coding RNA is filed under the name soil metagenome. RNAcentral describes it as "partial contains 5.8S ribosomal RNA, internal transcribed spacer 2, and large subunit ribosomal RNA". The stretch from base 1 to 120 matches the Rfam family "5.8S ribosomal RNA", at positions 35 to 154 of the family's 154-position model. The record is from RNAcentral.